This 261-nucleotide ribosomal RNA is filed under the name uncultured bacterium. RNAcentral's name for it is "partial 16S ribosomal RNA". It matches the Rfam family "Bacterial small subunit ribosomal RNA", at positions 91 to 354 of the family's 1533-position model. The record is from RNAcentral.
UUAGGUGGCGGACGGGUGAGUAACGCGUGGUAACCUGGCCCAUACAGGGGGAUAACACUUAGAAAUAGGUGCUAAUACCGCAUAACAACAGAAAGCGCAUGCUUUUUGUUUGAAAACCAAGGUGGUAUGGGAUGGACCCGCGUCUGAUUAGCUGGUUGGCGGGGUAAAGGCCCACCAAGGCGACGAUCAGUAGCCGGCCUGAGAGGGUGGACGGCCACAUUGGGACUGAGACACGGCCCAAACUCCUACGGAAGGCAGCAG